GACGAACGCUGGCGGCGUGCUUAACACAUGCAAGUCGAACGGUGAAGCGCUUGCCUUUUUGGUGGGUGUGGAUGAGUGGCGAACGGGUGAGUAACACGUGAGUAACCUGCCCUCUUCUUCUGGAUAACCUCAUGAAAGUGGGGCUAAUACGGGGUAUUCCGGGUCUGUCGCAUGGCGGGUUUGGGAAAGAUUGCGCCUUUGGGUGGUUUCGGUGGGGGAUGGGCUCGCGGCCUAUCAGCUUGUUGGUGGGGUGAUGGCCUACCAAGGCGGUGACGGGUAGCCGGCCUGAGAGGGUGGACGGCCACACUGGGACUGAGACACGGCCCAGACUCCUGCGGGAGGCAGCAGUGGGGAAUAUUGCACAAUGGGCGCAAGCCUGAUGCAGCGACGCCGCGUGAGGGAUGGAGGCCUUCGGGUUGUAAACCUCUUUCAGUAGGGAAGAAGCGAAAGUGACGGUACCUGCAGAAGAAGCACCGGCUAACUACGUG
This 488-nucleotide ribosomal RNA is filed under the name uncultured bacterium. RNAcentral describes it as "partial 16S ribosomal RNA". It matches the Rfam family "Bacterial small subunit ribosomal RNA", at positions 28 to 507 of the family's 1533-position model. The record is from RNAcentral.